This is a long non-coding RNA of Musa acuminata AAA Group (dessert banana), 1367 nucleotides long. RefSeq lists it as uncharacterized. The transcript has 5 exons. The record is from RefSeq and is a predicted model, not a curated record. NCBI's taxonomy places the organism in Eukaryota, Viridiplantae, Streptophyta, Magnoliopsida, Zingiberales, Musaceae.
GAAGAGGAUCGAUCGGAUCUGGAUCCUCCUCCUCCCCUCAUCUCUGAAAUCAUCAGAUUUGCUGAGUUUUUGGUGUUAAGGAAGUCUCAUCUCUCUCUCUUUUUACGUUUGUUUUGCGUGAACGGUAUGUGGGCUGACAGAAGAGAGUGAGCACACAGCGGUGAUUGCAUCGAUCUGAUGCCGUUCCUGUUGCGUGCUCAUUUCUCUUUCUGUCGGCUCACCCUAUCUCUUUCUCUCCCACAACAGCACAGCACCGAACACUUGUAGCAUGCUCUAAAGUAGGUUGAAAACAAGUGUCGAUUAGAGAGGAGAGAGGUUGGUGGGCGGUGGACUUCUGGUCUCUCUCUGGAGAGAUGCCACGAGUGUCUCAUCUGGCCCGGAUAACCAUGGCGAAAGGACGGAUUUCCAAGGUGAAGGGGAAGUACUCGGUACAUGAACUAUUAGGGCAUGUUUAUGCAGGUGCAGAAAGAAGUGGAUCUUAGCAGAAACAUUCGGAUCUGUGUUCUAUCAUAGGGCGGAAGAAGAUGGUGAAUCAGAGCUCUGACACGAAUUUGCGGUCGAGGGACGACAGGCAGAUGUCCCUUCUCUUGGAGGCCCUUGGUUCGAGAACUUGUAUGGCAUUUUCCGGGGAUUCAUCUCGUCGAUCCGAUCAAGCCCUCUCGGUAGAGCACCUUGUCGGUGCAGAUAAAGCGCUUCCCGGCGGCUCUUUCCGCCUCGUACACCGGUGUGUGCGCUUCGGCAACAUCCAGCACUUCGACGUACCCUUGCACCGCAUUCACUGACGUCUUCACCGACCCGUCGAGGUAAUUCACCACGUUGCCCGGAACUGGCGUUUAGCGUCGGCUCCCUCUAAUAUCCGGCGCCAUUACUUGUUCCUAUGAUUUAUAUUGUACAACGGUUUCAUGUCAUGAUCAACGAUGAAUCAUUCUCCUUUAAUUUAAGAAAAUAGAACAAUUCAGUAUUAGAAUCAUACGGCGUUGUCUGUGAGAGGGCAAACAGUGUGGAAGACGCCCUGACAACAAUCAAAAGCAGCGCGAAGAGCGUCGAAGUCGAGAAGGUCGGCCGCUUACGCUCAACCUCUUUUGCGCCUUUCAUCGCUUUGAGUAUAAACCUUCUCCAAGAACAGCUUCACCAACCAGCAGGCGUUGAAGCCUCCGGCGCCGGUGAGACAAACAGUUCGGCCGUUGGUACCAUUUGCAGCUGGUGCGACAUCACCAGCAACCACGUUGACGGUGACGAGUUGAAGAUUAGAAGUGCAUGAUGCCAAGAAAGGGAGAUUCAUAAAAGAAGAAUAAACCACAGAUAAAUAUAUUUUAAAAAAAAAUUAAAAAUACUUACAAAACAUCAAUAAAUUGUCUAUUAAUGAA